GGAGGAAUGGCCGAGUGGUUGAAGGCGGCAGUCUUGAAAACUGUUGACGUUCACGCGUCCGUGGGUUCGAAUCCUACUUCCUCCGCCA
This 88-nucleotide transfer RNA is filed under the name Gordonibacter pamelaeae. Its description in RNAcentral is "tRNA-Ser". It matches the Rfam family "tRNA". Rfam says of the family: Transfer RNA (tRNA) molecules are approximately 80 nucleotides in length. Their secondary structure includes four short double-helical elements and three loops (D, anti-codon, and T loops). Lineage: Bacteria; Bacillati; Actinomycetota; Coriobacteriia; Eggerthellales; Eggerthellaceae. RNAcentral also lists the same sequence under 5 other names. The record is from RNAcentral.